Molecule: long non-coding RNA, 769 nt
Filed under: Eucalyptus grandis
Lineage: Eukaryota; Viridiplantae; Streptophyta; Magnoliopsida; Myrtales; Myrtaceae
Description: long non-coding RNA (EGRA_LNC002252)
Source: RNAcentral
GGCAGAACGGCGGCUGAAAUCCGAAUUUUUGGCGGCGUCGACGGAUAUUCGAACUGGGCCUAAAAGGCCUUGCAAGCCCACAGCAAUUGCUGUGGUUGGUCUCGGGCUUGGGCUUGCUUCGCGGGCUUCAAGACUGGGCCAAAAUGUUGGCUGGACUGGUGGACCUCGAAUGGGCUAGAAUUGUGAGUUGUUGGGCUGAUGAAAAAUUAUGUGGGCUGCUUGCUCACGGGCUAGACUUGGCCGAACAUAUUGCGUAGACUAUUGCUGGGAUUUUGGGCCGAAGACAUUGGUUGAGGCGAGAGGGAGACGGACUGGCAGCUUCGGUGGGGAAUGAUGAUGAUGGUGCUGGCAGGGAGAUGGACGAAGGCUUGGUGGGUUGAGCUGGCGGUCGAAGGAAAGGAGCUGCUGCGGAUGGUCGUUGACGCUGGACGAGUGGCAGAGAGAAAACUUGGUGGAGCAACUUCUGCCGUGAGCUGCUUCGAUCGGUUGGUGCUUUACAAGUGGAAAAUUUGCGAUCAAUGUUUGGGGGCUUCGGCAGAUGAAGGUUAACCCUGACUCGGCAGCUGCUGGACAAAUGGCACGGCUGCUGGAUUAGUGGCCUCGGGAGAUGAAGAAAAGACAGAAGAUGGUGGACGAAUUGGAGGUGCAGGCGUGAGGCAGAGGGAAAUGGAGGCAAACGCUUGCGGAGAGAGAGAGAUAAGAUCGACUGUAGGGAAGGAAAAAUUGAAAAGGGAGCCGCGGAGAGGGAGGUCGGCGAGACUUGCUGGAG